CUGGGAGGACCAUCUCCUAAGGCUAAAUACUCUCUAGUGACCGAUAGUGAACCAGUACCGUGAGGGAAAGGUGAAAAGCACCCCGGAAGGGGAGUGAAAUAGAACCUGAAACCGUGUGCUUACAAGUAGUCAGAGCCCGUUAAUGGGUGAUGGCGUGCCUUUUGUAGAAUGAACCGGCGAGUUACGAUUUGAUGCAAGGUUAAGCAGUAAAUGUGGAGCCGUAGCGAAAGCGAGUCUGAAUAGGGCGUUUAGUAUUUGGUCGUAGACCCGAAACCAGGUGAUCUACCCUUGGUCAGGUUGAAGUUCAGGUAACACUGAAUGGAGGACCGAACCGACUUACGUUGAAAAGUGAGCGGAUGAACUGAGGGUAGCGGAGAAAUUCCAAUCGAACCUGGAGAUAGCUGGUUCUCUCCGAAAUAGCUUUAGGGCUAGCCUCAAGUGAUGAUUAUUGGAGGUAGAGCACUGUUUGGACGAGGGGCCCCUCUCGGGUUACCGAAUUCAGACAAACUCCGAAUGCCAAUUAAUUUAACUUGGGAGUCAGAACAUGGGUGAUAAGGUCCGUGUUCGAAAGGGAAACAGCCCAGACCACCAGCUAAGGUCCCAAAAUAUAUGUUAAGUGGAAAAGGAUGUGGCGUUGCCCAGACAACUAGGAUGUUGGCUUAGAAGCAGCCAUCAUUUAAAGAGUGCGUAAUAGCUCACUAGUCGAGUGACACUGCGCCGAAAAUGUACCGGGGCUAAACAUAUUACCGAAGCUGUGGAUUGUCCUUUGGACAAUGGUAGGAGAGCGUUCUAAGGGCGUUGAAGCAUGAUCGUAAGGACAUGUGGAGCGCUUAGAAG
Molecule: ribosomal RNA, 837 nt
Filed under: Staphylococcus aureus
Lineage: Bacteria; Bacillati; Bacillota; Bacilli; Caryophanales; Staphylococcaceae
Description: partial 23S ribosomal RNA
Rfam family: Bacterial large subunit ribosomal RNA
Source: RNAcentral